CUCUGUGUUCUCUGUGUCCACAGUGAAAAGUUCAGCAGGAAAAUCCGCUUUGUUCAAAAUCUUCAUCAACUUUCAACGAUGAUUCCGACAGAAAGACUUCAGAUCCCUGAGACUGUCCUCAUGUUUGAUGAAAAGUUGACUCGAUGACAAACUCGGAGGUGGAUGGAUUCAGUGGCUCGUUGAGGUUCAAACUGUAAAUAAACUUUUAAACUGUU
Molecule: long non-coding RNA, 215 nt
Organism: Solea senegalensis (Senegalese sole)
Lineage: Eukaryota; Metazoa; Chordata; Actinopteri; Pleuronectiformes; Soleidae
Exons: 2
Source: RefSeq, a predicted model, not a curated record